Molecule: ribosomal RNA, 549 nt
Filed under: uncultured bacterium
Lineage: Bacteria
Description: partial 16S ribosomal RNA
Rfam family: Bacterial small subunit ribosomal RNA
Source: RNAcentral
UGGGGAAUUUUGGACAAUGGGCGCAAGCCUGAUCCAGCCAUGCCGCGUGCGGGAAGAAGGCCUUCGGGUUGUAAACCGCUUUUGUCAGGGAAGAAAUCUUCUGAGUUAAUACCUCGGGAGGAUGACGGUACCUGAAGAAUAAGCACCGGCUAACUACGUGCCAGCAGCCGCGGUAAUACGUAGAGUGCAAGCGUUAAUCGGAAUUACUGGGCGUAAAGCGUGCGCAGGCGGUUUUGUAAGACAGGGGUGAAAUCCCCGGGCUCAACCUGGGAACUGCCUUUGUGACUGCAAGGCUUGAGUGCGGCAGAGGGGGAUGGAAUUCCGCGUGUAGCAGUGAAAUGCGUAGAUAUGCGGAGGAACACCGAUGGCGAAGGCAAUCCCCUGGGCCUGCACUGACGCUCAUGCACGAAAGCGUGGGGAGCAAACAGGAUUAGAUACCCUGGUAGUCCACGCCCUAAAACGAUGUCAACUGGUUGUUGGGAAGGUUCCUUCUCAGUAACGUAGCUAACGCGUGAAGUUGACCGCCUGGGGAGUACGGCCGCAAGGUUG